UUGCUCUUCAACGAGGAAUGCCUAGUAAGCGCAUGUCAUCAGCAUGCGUUGAUUACGUCCCUGCCCUUUGUACACACCGCCCGUCGCUACUACCGAUUGAAUGGCUCAGUGAGGCCUUCGGACUGGCUCGGAGAGGUUGGCAACGACCACUCCGAGCCGGAAAGUUCGUCAAACUCGGUCAUUUAGAGGAAGUAAAAGUCGUAACAAGGUUUCCGUAGGUGAACCUGCGGAAGGAUCAUUACCUAGAGUCAGUGGGCUUUGCCUGCUAUCUCUUACCCAUGUUUUAUGAGCACUUACGUUUCCUCGGUGGGUUCGCCCACCGAUUGGACCACUUAAACCCUUUGCAGUUUUGUAAUCAGCGUCUGAAAAACUUAAUAGUUACAACUUUCAACAACGGAUCUCUUGGUUCUGGCAUCGAUGAAGAACGCAGCGAAAUGCGAUAAGUAGUGUGAAUUGCAGAAUUCAGUGAAUCAUCGAAUCUUUGAACGCACAUUGCGCCCCUUGGUAUUCCAUGGGGCAUGCCUGUUCGAGCGUCAUUUGUACCUUCAAGCUCUGCUUGGUGUUGGGUGUUUGUCUCGCCUCUGCGUGUAGACUCGCCUUAAAACAAUUGGCAGCCGGCGUAUUGAUUUCGGAGCGCAGUACAUCUCGCGCUUUGCACUCAUAACGACGACGUCCAAAAGUACAUUUUUACACUCUUGACCUCGGAUCAGGUAGGGAUACCCGCUGAACUUAAGCAUAUCAAUAAGCGGAGGA
RNAcentral lists this ribosomal RNA (753 nucleotides) under uncultured fungus. Its description in RNAcentral is "eukaryotic LSU rRNA". The stretch from base 1 to 241 matches the Rfam family "Eukaryotic small subunit ribosomal RNA", at positions 1593 to 1831 of the family's 1831-position model. Lineage: Eukaryota; Fungi. The record is from RNAcentral.